Molecule: unclassified non-coding RNA, 428 nt
Filed under: Hevea brasiliensis (rubber tree)
Lineage: Eukaryota; Viridiplantae; Streptophyta; Magnoliopsida; Malpighiales; Euphorbiaceae
Source: RNAcentral
CACAUUUCUUCCAUAAUGAUCUCCUUCCCCUGACAUAUUCCACCUCUGACCCUUGAUCUGACUGAAGUCAUCCAUAUGAGCAUCAGGAAUACCACCUUUAUGAUAAGUCCUAGAUGGGAUGAAUCCAGGUCCCCCAUAAAAUUCUUUUCUAGUAAAUGUUCUUCCACCAAUAGAUGUAUCCCGCCCAGGACUGCGAUGACCAUUCUCCUGAUCUUGUGAAAGAAAAGUUGAGCUGUUCCCAUUUUCAAAUGAAUCCCUCUUCCAUGAAUUCACAGCUUUACCUCUGUCCAAAAAGAUAGCAGCGCCAUCUCUAGGAAAGUGAGGCCUAGAAACCACCUCAGAUGGUCUAUUCAUUCCUGAGGAAUCAGAAGAUGCUGAAGUUGUGAUCCUUUCUAACAUCCUUUCACUAUCUUCCCAAUCACCCACAU